Long non-coding RNA from Capra hircus (goat), 2650 nucleotides. RefSeq lists it as uncharacterized. The record is from RefSeq and is a predicted model, not a curated record. The transcript has 4 exons. Lineage: Eukaryota; Metazoa; Chordata; Mammalia; Artiodactyla; Bovidae.
CGGCCUGGCGCCGCGGGGCGCGCAACCCGCGCGUUCCGGGAAUCCACGCCUCCGGGAGAGAGGACAGCGCUGGCACAGGGAGGGGAAGGAGAGAGCUUCCCGUCCGGGCAGUCCGCAGGGUGGCCAUACCAGUGUUUCCUGCCUCCUGCCUUCUACCUGCCUGAAGCCAGUGGGUAGCCACAUCACGGAUCACACCCCAGACAUCCCCAGUCACGGGCUCCUCACCCUCCAGGUUCCAGUCUUGUCGACUUGAUUCCAGAAAUUCUCUGGCCUCCCUCCCCCACCCAGGCAAGCCAUGUGGUGCAGGCUCGUGACACAGAAGCCCCCUCACUGCCCCUUUGGCUGCUCCAGGUUUCCUCCUUGUAGUCCUCCACCUUCUACUGCACAGAUAACGGAUGGACAUGUGACUGUGGCCCUCCUUUGCUCCAUACCCCUCUGGAACUCCCCAUUGCCUGAGGGCAGAGCCUAAAGCACUCAAUCUGGUGCUCAGGGCUCUUGUGUUCAACCUCCAGCUGACCUCCCAGGUCUCACCUUCUCCCACCAAGUACCCAUCAGUCUGGCAGCCCUGAACCGCAGGAGUUUGCAAGCGUCUGUCCCUGCUGUCCUCUGCCUGGAAUGUCCUUACCCUUGUCUGGCUGGUACCCCCAGUUCUCUCCAUCUUUACAAUGCCCUCUUAGACAUCCCCACUUGUCUCAGAGCAAGACCCCAACCCACUUCCAUGCCCUGGAAGCACUAAGCACUAGCCCUCUCUUCUCGCUGUGUGAUGGGCGUGGACCUGACCAUGGUGACUGAACCCAUCAGCCUGCCUGAGAAGGAACCAGCCCAGGGGAAGCAGAGAGAGGGACUGACUUCCUCAGGAAGAAUUAAAAUGCUUGGAUCCAGCCACGCCUGGAGUUUAUGCUCUGCCUCAUGUUGGAAGCUGGUCUUUGCUUUUUGGAGGCUUCAGACUGACUCAAUGGUUUGAGCAAACUUUGGGAGAUGGUGAAGGACAGGGAAGCCGGACGUGCUGCAGUCCAUGGGGUUGCAAAGAGUCAGGCAUGAGCGACUGAACAACAACAAAUACGGAAAAUGGGACCAGAAGUUGGGUGUUGAGAUGAAUGGAUUCUAUGAUGUGGAACUGGCACUUCCUGUUACACACCAGUUGGGACUGCGGUCAGCUCCACCAAGGUGGAUUCUUCACCCACUCAGUCACCUGGGAAGCCCAUCCUUGGACAUAGGAGCUUUGAACCCAGGCCAAUCCAGCUCCAGGACUCACACACCGACUGCCCAGCAAGGUGUGGGGCACAUGGUAGAUCCCCCAAAUAGAAUGAACCUAUAAGAGCUCCCUGGAUGUGGAGGGCCAGCUGCUGCCAGCUGUGGGGACGGCUGAGUUGCUGAGUCCCCAGCUGAUCCACAGCUGGAGCACACACUGGCUCAAACUGCCCCAGUUAGCACACCUUUAAAUUUAGCUUUCUCUCCCUGCCAGGGAACAUGGGGAUUCAGCACGGGAACACUCCCUUCUUUCGAGGAAAAAUGCUUUGCAACUGGAGUGCGGGCCACUGGGCUACUCCUGCCUGGUCCAAGGAAGGGCCUCUCAGGUAGUGUACUCUGGGUGCCAGGGUGAGCUUUAGGUGGAUCUGCCUGUAACGGGAGAGGCUCCUUGCUCUUCCCCAGUCCCGUGUCCUGUCUUCCUGGUACCAGAAGUGGAGCCAGGUGCCUCAUUUCCCAGCCAUGUUUAUGGGUUCAAUAUGUGUAGCCUGGGCCCAUAUCACUUCCUGGCUUAACAUCUCCCCUGGGGAUGUCCCUGGUGUCCAGUGGUUAAGAACCUGCCUUGCAGUGGAGGAGAUGCAGGUUUGAUCCCUGGUUGGGGAACUAAGAGCCCCCAUGCCAUGGAACAGCUAACCCCUCCCUUGUACUGCAACUACUGAGCUUGCUCGUCACAACUAGAGAGUCCGUGCACCGCAACAAAGAUAUCUGCACGACGCGGUGAAGAUCCCACGUGUCACAGCUAAGACCCAAUGCAACCAAACCAACCAAAAACCUCCCCGGGUGCCAGCUGUGCUCAUAAAACCCAGCUCCUGGCUACGGCUUGGUGGGGCCGCUCUCACCUCUGCUCGCUUCUCUCUCCUGUUCCCAGAUGAGCCAGCACUGUCCAGCCCCAGGGCCUUUGCACAUGCCACUUUCUCCUCCUAGCACGUGCUCCCCCAAGCUCUUCGCAAGGCAGGAUCCUUCUUAGCACUUCCGACAAUGCCUCCGAGACCCUUCCCGACCACCCAGAGGGGCCGCCCACCAGCCAAGCCUGAUUACUGCCUGUUACCCUGUCUCACUCACUCUUGUCAGUUACCUGGGAUCUGCCUUGCUCUCCUUGAUGGAGCAUAGGCUCCAUGAGCAAGGGCAGAGGCUGGGUGUGGCCUGGGCAAUCAUUUAUCUCUGGAGCCUGGCAUGGGGGAGGCUCUCCUAGCACAAAAGAACACAGAAUCAUGUGAGAGGAUAAACUUACAGGAAGAGCAGGUGACCCACAAAGUGCCCGGAGACUUGCCCCUGCUCCAGGAUCCCACCUUGAUCCUCCCCAUCCUGUCCCACACCCUCGUGCUCUAACGCAGGAGGCAGCAAACUCCAUCAAGGGCCACGUGUCUUUUCUUCUUUUUAACUAUGUAUAUUUUUUUGGUUG